RNAcentral lists this transfer RNA (71 nucleotides) under Bacteriophage sp. RNAcentral's name for it is "tRNA-Ala". It matches the Rfam family "tRNA". Rfam says of the family: Transfer RNA (tRNA) molecules are approximately 80 nucleotides in length. Their secondary structure includes four short double-helical elements and three loops (D, anti-codon, and T loops). Further hydrogen bonds mediate the characteristic L-shaped molecular structure. tRNAs have two regions of fundamental functional importance: the anti-codon, which is responsible for specific mRNA codon recognition, and the 3' end, to which the tRNAs corresponding amino acid is attached (by aminoacyl-tRNA synthetases). tRNAs cope with the degeneracy of the genetic code in two manners: having more than one tRNA (with a specific anti-codon) for a particular amino acid; and 'wobble' base-pairing, i.e. permitting non-standard base-pairing at the 3rd anti-codon position. The record is from RNAcentral.
GGGCUGUUAGUUUAAUGGUAAAACUCCUGUUUUGCAAGCAGGCAUUAAGAGUUCAAUUCUCUUACGGUCCA